Molecule: ribosomal RNA, 467 nt
Filed under: uncultured bacterium
Lineage: Bacteria
Description: partial 16S ribosomal RNA
Rfam family: Bacterial small subunit ribosomal RNA
Source: RNAcentral
GAUGAACGCUGGCGGCGUGCUUAACACAUGCAAGUCGAACGGAAAGGCCUCUGCUUGCAGGGGUACUCGAGUGGCGAACGGGUGAGUAACACGGGGGUGAUCUGCCCUGCACUUCGGGAUAAGCCUGGGAAACUGGGUCUAAUACCGGAUAGGACAAUGGUUUGGAUGCUGUUGUGGAAAGUUUUUCGGUGUGGGAUGAGCUCGCGGCCUAUCAGCUUGUUGGUGGGGUAAUGGCCUACCAAGGCGUCGACGGGUAGCCGGCCUGAGAGGGUGUACGGCCACAUUGGGACUGAGAUACGGCCCAGACUCCUACGGGAGGCAGCAGUGGGGAAUAUUGCACAAUGGGCGCAAGCCUGAUGCAGCGACGCCGCGUGGGGGAUGACGGCCUUCGGGUUGUAAACUCCUUUCGCUAGGGACGAAGCGUUUUUGUGACGGUACCUGGAGAAGAAGCACCGGCUAACUACGUG